Molecule: ribosomal RNA, 409 nt
Filed under: Actinomycetes bacterium
Lineage: Bacteria; Bacillati; Actinomycetota; Actinomycetes
Also listed under: 2 other names
Description: Actinobacteria bacterium partial 16S ribosomal RNA
Rfam family: Bacterial small subunit ribosomal RNA
Source: RNAcentral
UGGGGAAUAUUGCACAAUGGGCGCAAGCCUGAUGCAGCGACGCCGCGUGAGGGAUGACGGCCUUCGGGUUGUAAACCUCUUUCAGCACAGACGAAGCGCAAGUGACGGUAUGUGCAGAAGAAGGACCGGCCAACUACGUGCCAGCAGCCGCGGUAAUACGUAGGGUCCGAGCGUUGUCCGGAAUUACUGGGCGUAAAGAGCUCGUAGGUGGUUUGUCGCGUUGUUCGUGAAAACUCACAGCUUAACUGUGGGCGUGCGGGCGAUACGGGCAGACUUGAGUACUGCAGGGGAGACUGGAAUUCCUGGUGUAGCGGUGGAAUGCGCAGAUAUCAGGAGGAACACCGGUGGCGAAGGCGGGUCUCUGGGCAGUAACUGACGCUGAGGAGCGAAAGCGUGGGGAGCGAACAGG